ACGGGUGAGUAACGCGUAAUCAACCUGCCCUACGGAUGGGGACAACAGAUGGAAACGACUGCUAAUACCGAAUACGUUCCAAAAGUGGCUGACUGUUGGAUGAUUGUGUGGCAUCUAUUUAUAAGCUAUCCCCGGAGGAGGGGUUUGCGUCUGAUUAGCUAGUUGGAGGGGUAACGGCCCACCAAGGCGACGAUCAGUAGCCGGUCUGAGAGGAUGAACGGCCACCUUGGACCUGCUCCCGGCCAGACUCCUAACGGAGGCCCCCAUGGGGAAUCUUCCCCCAUGGGACAAAGCCCGGAGGAACCACCCCCGGUGGGUGAAUACCGCCUUCCGGUUUGAAAGCUUCUGUUAAGCGAAAAAUAGCUUGUCUUGAAUAUCCUUGAAAAGAGACAGGGCCGUGGAAUAAACCCCCGGCUAAAUACGUGCCACCACCCGCGGUAAUACAUUUAUGGCAAGCGUUGUCCCAAUAAUUGUUCGUAAUAGACACCAGCCGGCUUCUCAAUUCUGCUGUCUUACUGCGAGGUUAACUACCUGGUGGAUGGAAGCUGAGAAGCUCACAUUAUCGUAGAGAGAACGGAAUACCUACUGUAGCAGCGACGUGCGGCGAUAUUAUUAGGUACUCGAUAGUGAGCGCAGCGACUGUACGAAAACUGACUGUGAGGGAGGAAGAAAGCGAAGGGAACGCACGAGAUAAAU
RNAcentral lists this ribosomal RNA (696 nucleotides) under uncultured bacterium. RNAcentral's name for it is "bacterial SSU rRNA". It matches the Rfam family "Bacterial small subunit ribosomal RNA", at positions 102 to 782 of the family's 1533-position model. The record is from RNAcentral.